UUUUGGACAAUGGGCGCAAGCCUGAUCCAGCCACGCCGCGUGCGGGAAGAAGGCCUUCGGGUUGUAAACCGCUUUUGUCAGGGCAGAAACGGUUUGGGCUAAUACCCCGAACUAAUGACGGUACCUGAAGAAUAAGCACCGGCUAACUACGUGCCAGCAGCCGCGGUAAUACGUAGGGUGCAAGCGUUAAUCGGAAUUACUGGGCGUAAAGCGUGCGCAGGCGGCUUUGCAAGACAGAUGUGAAAUCCCCGGGCUCAACCUGGGAACUGCAUUUGUGACUGCAAGGCUGGAGUGCGGCAGAGGGGGAUGGAAUUCCGCGUGUAGCAGUGAAAUGCGUAGAUAUGCGGAGGAACACCGAUGGCGAAGGCAAUCCCCUGGGCCUGCACUGACGCUCAUGCACGAAA
This 404-nucleotide ribosomal RNA is filed under the name uncultured bacterium. Its description in RNAcentral is "bacterial SSU rRNA". It matches the Rfam family "Bacterial small subunit ribosomal RNA", at positions 362 to 758 of the family's 1533-position model. The record is from RNAcentral.